Molecule: long non-coding RNA, 457 nt
Organism: Salvelinus fontinalis (brook trout)
Lineage: Eukaryota; Metazoa; Chordata; Actinopteri; Salmoniformes; Salmonidae
Exons: 5
Source: RefSeq, a predicted model, not a curated record
GGAGAGGUGGUGGAGAGAGGAGGUGGACAAGUAGGAGAGAGGACAGGUGGUGGAGAAGAAGAGGAGAGAGGAGAGGUGGUGGAGAGAGGAGGUGGACAAGUAGGAGAGAGGACAGGUGGUGGAGAAGAAGAGGAGAGAGGACAGGUGGUGGAGAAGAAGAGGAGAGGUGGUGGAGAGAGGUGGUGGACAGGUAGGAGAGAGGACAGGUGGUGGAGAAGAAGAGGAGAGAGGAGAGGUGGUGGAGAAGAAGAGGAGAGGUGGUGGAGAGAGGAGGUGGACAGGUAGGAGAGAGGACAGGUGGUGGAGAAGAAGAGGAGAGAGGAGAGGUGGUGGAGAGAGGAGGUGGACAGGUAGGAGAGAGGACAGGUGGUGGAGAAGAAGAGGAGAGAGGAGAGGAGGUGGAGAGAGGAGAGGAGAGAGGACAGGUGGUGGAGAAGAAGAGGAGAGAGGACAGGUG